This 253-nucleotide ribosomal RNA is filed under the name uncultured bacterium. Its description in RNAcentral is "partial 16S ribosomal RNA". It matches the Rfam family "Bacterial small subunit ribosomal RNA", at positions 524 to 776 of the family's 1533-position model. The record is from RNAcentral.
GACAGAGGGGGCAAGCGUUGCUCGGAAUCACUGGGCGUAAAGGGCGCGUAGGCGGGAUGGCAAGUCGGUCGUGAAAUCCUUCGGCUCAACCGAAGAACGUCGGCCGAUACUGCCGUUCUUGAGGGAUGCAGAGGAGAUUGGAAUUCCCGGUGUAGCGGUGAAAUGUGUAGAGAUCGGGAGGAACACCGGUGGCGAAGGCGGGUCUCUGGGCAUCUCCUGACGCUGAAAGACGAAAGCCAGGGGAGCAAACGGG